RNAcentral lists this non-coding RNA (99 nucleotides) under Neotoma lepida (desert woodrat). Lineage: Eukaryota; Metazoa; Chordata; Mammalia; Rodentia; Cricetidae. The record is from RNAcentral.
GUGUACAAAAGGAGAGAAGGUCAGUACUCCUCUUCACAAUGAUAGAGAAGUCCUGGGACUAACAACACCCACCUGUCAGGUUUGGUGGCACAUGCCUUU